This is a long non-coding RNA of Aedes albopictus (Asian tiger mosquito), 604 nucleotides long. RefSeq lists it as uncharacterized. The record is from RefSeq and is a predicted model, not a curated record. NCBI's taxonomy places the organism in Eukaryota, Metazoa, Arthropoda, Insecta, Diptera, Culicidae. The transcript is spliced from 2 exons.
GCCGCACGCUAAGAAAAUGUUACAUACCGGCUGUGUUAAAUUCACACAUCGAACCGUUUCGUGCACAAGAACGCUUCGGUGAGUAAAAAUUUUGCUCAUAAUGUGAGUAACUGUUCGCAAACUCACAUUUUGUGUAAAUCAGCUUUUAGCGUUUGUUUAGAAACCGUUUCGAAACGAAUGAAAUGUCAAAUUUCGAAACAAACUUUGAAAGUUUAUGUUUUUGUUUUUAUCUCGCGUUGUUGAUGCUGUUCCGGUGAAUUUUUCCUCAUGAAAUCCGCGCUCCUCCGGAUAGGAUGGAACAAUUCCUUGGCAAUUUUGGAAGGUAACGUAAAGAAAGAUUGGCUUACGAAAGAGACGGCACUGAGAAAAAAACCUGGCUCUAGCGUAGUGACUCAAAUUUCUCCGACGUUGGCCGGAAACUGCACUGCUGAGCGGAUGCGGUGUUUGCACAAGUUGCUUCUGCAGACGGAAAGUGAUAUUUGGAACAAUUCUUGUCAGAGGCAAAGUAGAGGAUUCUGUCAUGGGAACACGUCUGAUGGAUGUCCGGAAUUCAGUAAAUCUUCCUGGAACUGCUGCAGCUGUUCAAUUUACUGGCGUGACAUAU